GAAUUUGUAAUUACAUUAAGUGGCAAGGUCAUAAGUGAGACUUUAAACUAACGGUAAGAAUUUGAAUGAAUUCAACAUAUAACGAAGAAUAAACUUGAAAUAUUUCGUAUGGUACAAACUUUUGCUUAACUCCUUUUGCUAUUUUAUUUUAUACUAUAUUUGAAAACAAAAAUUCCACUAAAAUUUAAGUUUACAACUUAUUAUGUUCCAGGAAAAAAUAAUUUAUGGUUGGUUGGUUAUGGAAUUUCUUAGGGGUAAUAACAAAAGAUCGAUCCUAAGAGAAAUUUUCUAGCCGUUGGCAGCUUUUCCCCACUAUGCUGGAUAGUUUUGCUUGCUUACCUAACUAUUUACCCUACUACUCCAUUAUAAUUAUAGUACUACAAUAAAAUACUAUACUUUUUUUUAAUUAUUAUAGUGAUAAUAUAUAAUUACCCGUUGAGUUUGUACCACUUGCACCCCAAAUUUUGCGGAUUCCUGUGACCCCUGUAAUUAUUUGAAGUGAAAUAAGUGGCACCUACAAUAUUUUGUACGUAGCGUGUGUGAAAAUAAUCUGUCUAAUUCUGACAACUUUUUUAUUUUUACUUUUUCCUCGAUUGCCUUUAUCUUUUUCUUUUCAUUUUCUCUCUUUGCUAAUAAUCACCAAUUAAGAUAUUGUGAGUUCGAGUCACCCCAAAAAUAAGGUGAAGAGUUCGAGUCACCCCAAAAAUAAAGUGGAGAGUUUUUGGAGGGGGAAACCGAGAAUCUAUCGGGAACAGACUCUCUACCCAGGAUAUGGGUAAGGUAUACAUACACACUACCCUCCCCGGACCCAUUAAUGAAAUUAUAUUAGGUUGUUGUUGUUGUUGUCGUCGUCUCUUUCUUUUUUGCUGGUCUCUUCUUCUUCGUUUAAACCAGUUGAUAUCUCCUCCACCUCCACGUAAUUCCACCCACCUCUGUUUUCAGCAAACUUUUCUAUGUUUUUCUUUAAAAACAAAUUAAAACACAAAAAUAAUAAUUUCUUAAUCUCAAAUUUCACAUGAGAAUAACCAUUAUCAUCAGUAGAUCACAAAAUCGAAGCUGGUAUAUUUAUAAUUUUUUCGGCAAUACAGAAGGAUAUGGAGGUGUGGGUUUUGGUGGUUCUCUAUUCUCACAUAAGUUCAAAGAUUCUAUCUUAAAGCAAUGCAUAUACACUUGCCGGAGCAAAACACAUUUCAAGAGCUUUAUUUUCUCGAGCAAAAAUGAUUUGGUUUGGUGGCAGUUUGCGAUAGCAAUUUUGAUUGGCAGUGGUGAAUUUGAUUUUCCGGUAGACAUGGGCGGUGGUGACAGUGGCUAUGACGGAGCCAGUUGUGUUGGAAAAGAAGAUAACAAAAAAGAAAAGAAAGAAAAGGAAAAAAGAUAAAAUGAAAAUUAUAAAUAACAAAGAAAAAUCAGUAUAAGAAAAGAAAUUACGUGGCAAAAUAUGAUUGAUGCGUGUUGUCCACUAAUUCUUUUGAAACUAGUACUAGUCACAGAAGGAGAACCUUAUUUCACUUCAGCAAUUACAAGGGGUCAGUUUGAGGGUGCAAGUACAACCAUUAUGUAUUAUCUCUUAUUAUACUACUAUAAAUUUCUGGAAUGCUUAUUUCUUAGUGAAGCAUAUUCACGGGAUUUUGCUACCAGAUUUUAUUGGGUUAUUUUUUAAGGCUUAUUCACGUGAAGCAUUUUUUUGAAUUAAAAAAAAAAAA
Molecule: non-coding RNA, 1703 nt
Organism: Nicotiana tabacum (common tobacco)
Lineage: Eukaryota; Viridiplantae; Streptophyta; Magnoliopsida; Solanales; Solanaceae
Source: RefSeq, a predicted model, not a curated record